RNAcentral lists this long non-coding RNA (1408 nucleotides) under Varroa destructor (honeybee mite). RNAcentral describes it as "uncharacterized LOC111254076, transcript variant X2". Lineage: Eukaryota; Metazoa; Arthropoda; Arachnida; Mesostigmata; Varroidae. The record is from RNAcentral.
CUUUGAAUGAGCCUUUAAGGGCUCUCUGACAUGACAAUGUGUCAACAAUUCUUAAUGCUCGCCCUCAAUACUGUCGGUGUUGAUGAGCGAGUCCAAAGAAGGCAACCGUUGUUGCGGCUGGAAAUCGUGCCCUGCCAAAAUCUAUACGUGUUGAUCUGUACUUGAUGCCUGGUAGAUGGGUGAAUGUGUACGUUUGUUGUUCUCAGACUUUUUGGCCGCUUAAUUUCUUGCAGAUGAUCUCGGAAUGAGCAAAACCCUCGCUCCAGAGGAAUCCACUCUUCAUGGUCCCACGAUAACCAUUGUCUCGCAGGCCACUUUUCUUCAAUCGACACUCGGCUAUAUCAUUGUGAUACUCGUCAUCCUCAUACUUCUCGCCCUUUUACUACUGCUAUGUAUUUGUCUAUGCUGCGCAAUGGCCCUUCUCUACUUUCGCGAAGGUCCUACACAGAGGAACGAGAAUAAGGCGCGUUUCAUUCCGCGCAUACGAAAGAACUGGAAAAGUUUGAGGGAUGCUGAAGAAGCGGCUCGACUUAUUAGUAGAUAAGUAAGGUCGUCGAAAAUCAGAACUUGGGGGCCACCGUUACCAGCAAACCUUUCACAUGAUCGACACCAUCUACCGCAGUAAUAGUUGUCAUAACGGUAACACCUAGCACCACGAGGGGAACUACAACUUGCAGCAGGACGAAAGACAGACAGAGGACCCAACUGCUGACUAACCUGCAAAAUGAAAAGCGGUAGACGGGCGAAUAUGGCCCAGCAAGAGAAGGCAAGCCGCAUCCUUCCCAUCGUCAAGCUGAAUAGAGGAGUAAAGGAGGCUGUCAAGAUACAAAGAAUACAAAUGGGAACGGCCUGGAUGAAACUGGGACACUUCGUGCGGAACUAGCUACUCGAGAAGACGCGGUCGAAAAAAACCAGUGAUUCUGUUUGGGCGCCCCGAAGAAGAGGAAAAAUGCCGGGUUUUUUUUCCUGAAAUUUUGCUACAGUUGUACGUGGCAUUAGAUCGGUACAAUCGACGGUGCUCAAACUGAUAUGCAAACAAACUUCUGGCCCGUUCGGUAUAACUGUGACUUGUCAGAUGACUGAGACGAAGUGGCCACCUCGUCGAAAGCAACAAGAUCAGAGCCAGCAAAUAUCUGUUGUCCAAACUUAUUCGCAGUAAACCGCUAGCGUGCUGGUCUAACAGAAUACGUGCGCUGUAUAAUACACGUACUACCGACAAAACUUAGCGAAUUUCUUGUGUGACUUAUUUUGUGAACAGGUCAACAACUACCUACGAACUAGGUUUUGUACACUAAUUGCAUGUAUAUCGAGGAAGGAUCCAACGUAACCGCAAGAUGAGCUAAUCAUACCCAUUUCGCUGCACGAAUUUCGAAAUUGAGCCCGGUGAGUCCUUCCGCCUCCCGUGCUU